RNAcentral lists this ribosomal RNA (450 nucleotides) under Salmonella enterica subsp. enterica serovar Ndolo. RNAcentral's name for it is "partial 23S ribosomal RNA". It matches the Rfam family "Bacterial large subunit ribosomal RNA", at positions 178 to 655 of the family's 2925-position model. The record is from RNAcentral. Lineage: Bacteria; Pseudomonadati; Pseudomonadota; Gammaproteobacteria; Enterobacterales; Enterobacteriaceae.
GGCGAACCGGGGGAACUGAAACAUCUAAGUACCCCGAGGAAAAGAAAUCAACCGAGAUUCCCCCAGUAGCGGCGAGCGAACGGGGAGGAGCCCAGAGCCUGAAUCAGCAUGUGUGUUAGUGGAAGCGUCUGGAAAGGCGCGCGAUACAGGGUGACAGCCCCGUACACAAAAGCGCAUGUGCUGUGAGCUCGAUGAGUAGGGCGGGACACGUGGUAUCCUGUCUGAAUAUGGGGGGACCAUCCUCCAAGGCUAAAUACUCCUGACUGACCGAUAGUGAACCAGUACCGUGAGGGAAAGGCGAAAAGAACCCCGGCGAGGGGAGUGAAAAAGAACCUGAAACCGUGUACGUACAAGCAGUGGGAGCCCCACCACUAAGCCAGUGGUGAACUCCACAUACGCAUCCUUUGCUGAGGAUACGGUUAACGGAGCGAAAGCGACGUUCAACCUCAA